GACUAAAAUAAUCCAUCCUUCAAUGGAUCGUUCAGGUCCAGGGCCACCUUCGGAGUCAAGUGAAUCAAAUCGAGCAGAAAGGCGAGCAUUCCUUUCAGCCUCAGCAGUCUCUUCACGGAAACCCCGUCCUUUGAUUUUCUUAGAAGCAGAAGAACCGCCGCCGCCACCUGUAAUGGCUGAUUUCAGCUUUGGCAUCGGUGCCCUAGGUGAUGAAGCGUCAACGUCUUCGUCCAUCAGAUCGUCUUCCUCUGGCUCGAAAUCCACAGCCUCCUCCGGGUUCGCCAUUUUCGCCGCUGCAGCAAAAAGAGAGAAUCUGGGGUUUUGAUUCGCUUGUUUCAACUGUAUAUAUUUAUUUAU
Molecule: unclassified non-coding RNA, 357 nt
Filed under: Hevea brasiliensis (rubber tree)
Lineage: Eukaryota; Viridiplantae; Streptophyta; Magnoliopsida; Malpighiales; Euphorbiaceae
Source: RNAcentral